CUGGGCGCUGGAGGAGACGCGACUCGCACUCGCGACUCUGGCUGGAUGGAUGCUGAUGCUGACAGCUGCUGGAGUCGCGUCGCUGUCAACAGCAACGAGUCCAGCCAGAGUCGCGAGUGUGGGUUAGGUUAUCGUGUCCCGUUCGAUGGAACAUGGAAUUGAAUUCCAACACUUGGUCUACAAUGCACCAUUUUUCAAGGAAAGAACUAUUAUCGCUACAACAACCAUAUCCUUCUGCCAACGUGAUAUUUUUCUGAGUGUUUUGUAGUGACAUUUCAUGUUCAAAUUUUAUACUGUCGAACGGUCGAACUUCUUGCAUCAGUUUGUCUUGUGUGCUUUAUUCAUUUCUAAACCAAUGUCAAUCUUUCAUACAUUUGUUUGCUUUCAAUUUAUUUAAUGCCUCCUUAUUAACCAACAUCAUGUCCUCAAAGUUAGGUACGAACCAUGUAUACUAAUCUAAUUUCCUUGUAGUUCCUCAAAACCGGUAUUAAAAAUAAAAAUCUUAUGAUGCAACAAUAAAAUGCUCUUUACUCUUGUACAAAGUUACUGCAAACAUCAAAUAAAAAUAUUUUUUAAAUUAAA
This is a long non-coding RNA of Thrips palmi, 582 nucleotides long. RefSeq lists it as uncharacterized. NCBI's taxonomy places the organism in Eukaryota, Metazoa, Arthropoda, Insecta, Thysanoptera, Thripidae. The record is from RefSeq and is a predicted model, not a curated record. The transcript is spliced from 2 exons.